Rattus norvegicus (Norway rat) is the source of this 69-nucleotide non-coding RNA. Lineage: Eukaryota; Metazoa; Chordata; Mammalia; Rodentia; Muridae. The record is from Rfam.
GGGGAUUUAGCUCAGUGGUAGAGCGCUUGCCUAGCAAGCGCAAGGUCCUGGGUUUGGUCCCCAGCUCCA